RNAcentral lists this long non-coding RNA (376 nucleotides) under Struthio camelus australis. RNAcentral describes it as "lncRNA (ENSSCUG00000017422.1)". Lineage: Eukaryota; Metazoa; Chordata; Aves; Struthioniformes; Struthionidae. The record is from RNAcentral.
GCUGCAAGCGCGUUCGCUUCAGAUCAGCCCUGCCGUCUUCGGCAGUGUCGUUCCGGCCUUGGGUUCUUGGAAUGCCAGAAGUGAUCAUUCCAGAAGAGAUUGCCGUUGCUCCUAACAGUGAAGAACUUGCUAUUCUGCAGUCGUAAAACGUCACAUAAUUCACAGAAUUACAAAAUCACAGCAUCUUUGCGGUUGGAAGGAACAGCUGGAGAUCAUCUGGUCCAACAGCCCUGCUCAAGUAGAAUCACCUGGAUCAGGUUGCCCAGGACUGUGUCCUGUUGGGUUUUGAGUAUCUCCAAGGAUGGAGACUCCACAACCUCUCUGGGCAAUCUGUUCCAGCGCAAUUCUUCAUAGUUACCUUGUCUGGGAUCUGUCA